RNAcentral lists this long non-coding RNA (1210 nucleotides) under Olea europaea (common olive). RNAcentral describes it as "long non-coding RNA (OEUR_LNC011398)". Lineage: Eukaryota; Viridiplantae; Streptophyta; Magnoliopsida; Lamiales; Oleaceae. The record is from RNAcentral.
UCCUAGGCUGCAGUAUUAUUUAUGUUUAGAUCAUUACUUUUUGAUAUUCUACUGUUGGCUUUUUGUAUUUUUGUAUUUAUUCAUUUGAGUACUUAGAGAGGCAAAAUCUGACUCUAUGUGAGGUCAUGGUGGACGUGGAAAUGGGCAUGGUUGUGGAAGUGGACAUUGCUACAUCAGAUACUCAACCAACAACAAGAAUUCUUAUGGAAAUUUCAGAUGGUCAAGGUGCAUCUGGAAAAGCUCAUACGAGAAAGCCUUCUGAAAGAAGCGGUGGCUAUGGUAAACUUUGUGAUCCUUGUGGAGGCGGUCACUGAGGUGGUUUAAACAAUGGUGAAGUGGGGGAAGGUGAACAAGAAAGGCUACGUCAGGUUUUUGAUCACCGUAGUGCCUUGGGUAGGGGUAUACAUGCUAUGUUUUUCACUAAAUCUCUCGUCUUUGCAGUCCUUAGACAUUUAUAUUCUGCUGUGAACUUAUUCGACUGCAAAAAUGAGAUAAAAUGUGAGAGUUGGCAGAGGUAACUGGGAAGCUUAGACUAAUGAACUGGCUAUCUCCUUGGUGCCUUUGGCAGUAAGGCUUUACAGUAGCAUAUACUUUUUCUCAUGUUUAAUAUUGUGCUCCUUCGUUUCUAGAGUUAUCGAAGAAGUCAUCAAUGAAGGUGGGAACAAUCUGAAUGCUGAGAAGAACUCAGGAGAGGAAGAUGCAACACAUGGGAACAAGGAAACUUCUACCAUUGAAAUUGAAGAAAAGGAACCUGAGCACAUAUAAAUUAAUUCAUGAGUCCAUUUUUGUUAUGGUAGUAGUCCAGUAUUUACAUAACGUCUUGUAAAAUGACUUUAUUCUUCUUUUGCAAGCUAAUUCCAAUUUAUCAUUUAAUAAUAACUUGUUCUCUUUCUUUUAGCUAGAGUAGAUGUCCCACGGGAGAAUAUUUGACAUUAGUGACGAAGUUCUUAUAACAUGUGAAGAUAAUUUUGUAGAUAUUUUCAAAAAGUACCAUUAUCAUCUGAGUUGAGUUCAACAAUGCUAAUUGCUGAACAUCUUCAUUUGUGGCUAUUUUGUCACUAGUCUUACUUUUUUUGAAAGGUAACCACAGGAAGUGUCAAUAGUCUGUCUUACUAGCAACUAAAUAGCACUCUUUUGUCAGAAUUAUUUGGCGACGCCGAUAUUGAACUCUUGUUGUUUCAUAUAAAAACUUUCCUAGCAAUUUGAAUUU